This 435-nucleotide ribosomal RNA is filed under the name uncultured bacterium. RNAcentral describes it as "bacterial SSU rRNA". It matches the Rfam family "Bacterial small subunit ribosomal RNA", at positions 29 to 507 of the family's 1533-position model. The record is from RNAcentral.
AACGAACGCUGGCGGCAUGCCUAACACAUGCAAGUCGAACGAGGCCCUUCGGGGUUUAGUGGCGCACGGGUGCGUAACGCGUGGGAAUUUGCCCUUUGGUUUGGAAUAACAGCUGGAAACGGCUGCUAAUACCGGAUGAUGACGAAAGUCCAAAGAUUUAUUGCCAGAGGAUGAGCCCGCGUUGGAUUAGGUAGUUGGUGGGGUAAAGGCCUACCAAGCCGACGAUCCAUAGCUGGUUUGAGAGGAUGAUCAGCCACACUGGGACUGAGACACGGCCCAGACUCCUACGGGAGGCAGCAGUGGGGAAUAUUGGACAAUGGGCGCAAGCCUGAUCCAGCAAUGCCGCGUGAGUGAUGAAGGCCCUAGGGUUGUAAAGCUUUUUUACCCGGGAAGAUAAUGACUGUACCGGGAGAAUAAGCCCCGGCUAACUCCGUG